AUUGAACGCUGGCGGCGUGCCUAACACAUGCAAGUCGAGCGGUAACAGGUGUAGCAAUACAUGCUGACGAGCGGCGAACGGGUGAGUAAUGCUUUGGAAUCUUCCCAGUAGUGGGGAAUAACCAGUCGAAAGAUUGGCUAAUACCGCAUACGUCUGUAAAGGGAAAGCGGGGGCUCGUAAGACCUCGCGCUAUUGGAUGAGCCAAAGUCGGAUUAGCUAGUGGUGGGGUAAUGGCCUACCAAGGCGACAAUCCGUA
RNAcentral lists this ribosomal RNA (256 nucleotides) under uncultured bacterium. RNAcentral describes it as "partial 16S ribosomal RNA". It matches the Rfam family "Bacterial small subunit ribosomal RNA", at positions 30 to 285 of the family's 1533-position model. The record is from RNAcentral.